This 344-nucleotide ribosomal RNA is filed under the name Tergipes tergipes. RNAcentral's name for it is "partial 16S ribosomal RNA". The record is from RNAcentral. Lineage: Eukaryota; Metazoa; Mollusca; Gastropoda; Nudibranchia; Tergipedidae.
AUAACUGGGUCUAGCUGUCUCAUAAAUAUUUUUUUGAAUUUACUGUUUAAGUGAAAAAGCUUAAAUUUUAUAAAGGGACGAGAAGACCCUUGGAAUUUUUUUUAAUUUAGGAUUAUUCCUAAUGUUAUUUUGUUGGGGCGACAUAGAAAUAGUUAAAACUUUCUUUAUAAUAUGAGUCGGAAUUUUCAGGAAAAGAUAAAUUACCCAAGGGAUAACAGCAUAAUUCUAUAAAUGAGUUUGUGACCUCGAUGUUGGACUAGGAAGCUGGCAGGUUAGCUGCUUGUCGUGCGAAUUCUGUUCGAAUUUUAACUCCUACGUGAUCUGAGUUCAGACANGAUCCCCUG